AUUGUCUACUUUGAACUGGGCACAACAGGUAAUGUUUCUGGAAACAGGAACACUUACCUGAAUAGGUGGCCUUAGAUCCAGCAUGAUCAUUCAAAUUGAGGGUUAAGACUGCUUAGGAACAAGGUGAAGUGGAUAAAACUAUACACUGCCAGUCCUAAGAAAUGGAGACAGAAAAUGGGGUUGUAUGGUUCUGUGUAGGUGAUGCACGAAGAAGCCACUUGUGAGCAAACUUCAGAAGGAUCUGUGCUAAGUACUUGGAUCUCAUCAAGGCAGCUUGGAAAGCAAACAAGACAGAAUGUUCACAUAAUGAUAUGAAGAUUUGAACCACAAAAUUCUGCAAAGGGGCGUAUUGAUCCAGUAUAGAACUGAUGAGACUGUAAGCCUGUGGUGACAGGCCAGAAGAGCAAAACAUUACAAAAAGGAGCAUGCAGUUUUUUAACACAGGACGCUUUCUCAAGUGAGUGUUAUCUGAAGGAAUCACGAGGACAUCACAGCAACUGUGGAUCUAGUCCUUGAAGCAGUUUGGUGUCUGUCCCUACCUAGACAGGUUGGGCUCCAUGAGGAGGAACGUGGCCUGAGUAUCUGUCCUCCUCACCAUCAGCUUUUCCAGUGUGGGUGCUGUGGGAGCAGCUGCCUUCCACCCUUGCAGCCAUGCUUUCCCUGCCAAGGUGGACUGUUCCCUCAACUGUGAGCAGAAAUGAAGCAUCCUGCAGGGCAUUUGGGCUCAGCGAUGGCAAAAGUAACUAAGGAUUCUGCAAGGCUCUGCUCAUGGAGAGUAGCCACGUCACCAAUUAUAUGUCACCAAUUAUUAGCGUCACAUGAAUUCCAGAAGAUCACAUGGUCAAGUUAU
Molecule: long non-coding RNA, 850 nt
Organism: Myodes glareolus (Bank vole)
Lineage: Eukaryota; Metazoa; Chordata; Mammalia; Rodentia; Cricetidae
Source: RefSeq, a predicted model, not a curated record